CCCUUAGAUGUUCUGGGCCGCACGCGUGCUACACUGAGUAAUUCAAUGGGUAAGGGAACGCUAGAGCAUUAACUAAUCUUGAAAUUUGCUCGUGAUGGGGAUCGACGGUUGCAAUUUUCCGUCGUGAACGAGGAAUACCUUGUAGGCGCAUGUCAUCAUCAUGCGCCGAAUACGUCCCUGCCCUUUGUACACACCGCCCGUCGCUCCUACCGAUUGAGUGAUCCGGUGAGGCUCUGGGACCUGGACGGAAAGAGCGUUUCGCUUGUUCUGUUUGGGAAACUUGGUCGAACCUUAUCAUUUAGAGGAAGGAGAAGUCGUAACA
RNAcentral lists this ribosomal RNA (322 nucleotides) under uncultured eukaryote. RNAcentral describes it as "partial 18S ribosomal RNA". It matches the Rfam family "Eukaryotic small subunit ribosomal RNA", at positions 1470 to 1796 of the family's 1831-position model. The record is from RNAcentral.